RNAcentral lists this ribosomal RNA (654 nucleotides) under uncultured archaeon. RNAcentral describes it as "bacterial SSU rRNA". It matches the Rfam family "Archaeal small subunit ribosomal RNA", at positions 508 to 1160 of the family's 1478-position model. The record is from RNAcentral.
GCCUAAAGCGUCCGUAGCCGGCUAUGUUAGUUUUCGGUUAAAUCCAUGUGCUCAACACAUGGGCUGCCGAAAAUACUGUAUAGCUAGGGAGUGGGAGAGGUAGACGGUACUCGGUAGGAAGGGGUAAAAUCCUUUGAUCUAUCGAUGACCACCAGUGGCGAAGGCGGUCUACCAGAACACGUCCGACGGUGAGGGAUGAAAGCUGGGGGAGCAAACCGGAUUAGAUACCCGGGUAGUCCCAGCUGUAAACUAUGCAAACUCAGUGAUGCAUUGGCUUGUGGCCAAUGCAGUGCCGCAGAGAAGUCGUUAAGUUUGCCGCCUGGGAAGUACGUACGCAAGUAUGAAACUUAAAGGAAUUGGCGGGGGAGCACCACAAGGGGUGAAGCCUGCGGUUCAAUUGGAGUCAACGCCAGAAAUCUUACCCGGAGAGACAGCAGAAUGAAGGUCAAGCUGAAGACUUUACCAGACAAGCUGAGAAGUGGUGCAUGGCCGUCGCCAGCUCGUGCCGUGAGGUGUCCUGUUAAGUCAGGUAACGAGCGAGAUCCUUGCCUCUAGUUGCCACCAUUACUCUCAGGAGUAGUGGGGCGAAUUAGCGGGACUGCCGCAGUUAAUGCGGAGGAAGGAGGGGGCCACGGCAGGUCAGUAUGCCCCGAA